This 253-nucleotide ribosomal RNA is filed under the name uncultured bacterium. RNAcentral describes it as "partial 16S ribosomal RNA". It matches the Rfam family "Bacterial small subunit ribosomal RNA", at positions 524 to 776 of the family's 1533-position model. The record is from RNAcentral.
UACGAAGGGUGCAAGCGUUAAUCGGAAUUACUGGGCGUAAAGCGUGCGUAGAUGGCCUGUUAAGUCGGAUGUGAAAGCCCCGGGCUCAACCUGGGAAUGGCAUCCGAUACUGGUGGGCUAGAGUGCGGUAGAGGAGAGCGGAAUUCCCGGUGUAGCGGUGAAAUGCGUAGAGAUCGGGAGGAACAUCCGUGGCGAAGGCGGCUCUCUGGACCAGCACUGACGUUGAGGCACGAAAGCGUGGGGAGCGAUCCGG